Molecule: ribosomal RNA, 253 nt
Filed under: uncultured bacterium
Lineage: Bacteria
Description: partial 16S ribosomal RNA
Rfam family: Bacterial small subunit ribosomal RNA
Source: RNAcentral
CACGUAGGGCGCAAGCGUUGUCCGGAAUUAUUGGGCGUAAAGAGCUCGUAGGCGGUCUGUUGCGUCUGCUGUGAAAACUCGGGGCUUAACCCCGAGCCUGCAGUGGAUACGGGCAGACUAGAGGUAGGUAGGGGAGAAUGGAAUUCCCGGUGUAGCGGUGAAAUGCGCAGAUAUCGGGAGGAACACCGGCGGCGAAAGCGCGAUACUGGGCCAUAACUGACGCUGAGGAACGAAAGCCAGGGGAGCGAAAGGG